This 468-nucleotide ribosomal RNA is filed under the name uncultured bacterium. RNAcentral describes it as "partial 16S ribosomal RNA". It matches the Rfam family "Bacterial small subunit ribosomal RNA", at positions 28 to 507 of the family's 1533-position model. The record is from RNAcentral.
GACGAACGCUGGCGGCGUGCUUAACACAUGCAAGUCGAACGGAAAGGCCCUGCUUUUGUGGGGUGCUCGAGUGGCGAACGGGUGAGUAACACGUGAGUAACCUGCCCUUGACUUUGGGAUAACUUCAGGAAACUGGGGCUAAUACCGGAUAGGAGCUCCUGCUGCAUGGUGGGGGUUGGAAAGUUUCGGCGGUUGGGGAUGGACUCGCGGCUUAUCAGCUUGUUGGUGGGGUAGUGGCUUACCAAGGCUUUGACGGGUAGCCGGCCUGCGAGGGUGACCGGCGACAUUGGGACUGAGAUACGGACCAGACUCCUACGGGAGGCAGCAGUGGGGAAUAUUGCACAAUGGGCGGAAGCCUGAUGCAGCAACGCCGCGUGCGGGAUGACGGCCUUCGGGUUGUAAACCGCUUUCGCCUGUGACGAAGCGUGAGUGACGGUAAUGGGUAAAGAAGCACCGGCUAACUACGUG